UCGUCUUCGUACUCAUAAGUCGUUUUCGAUGAUAGAGCUUCCGAAUCAACGAUCCAUACCGUUAAAUAUUUUCUAGAGCAUUUAAAAUUUUUAGAAAUUAAAUUUCAUAAUUUUUAGACAUCAUUUACCUUACGAUCAAAAGCUCAUAAAAUUGACAAUUUUUAACGGCCGGUAUGGAAUACUUGCUAGUUUAACGGUGCAAAAAAUCCAAAUAGGUUGAAUUUUUUAUAGAAAAUUCUAUUCACUACCUUUAUAAAGAUCAAUAACUCCGAUUUUAAAUUGAAGAAUCCGAUCAUCCAUUUUUAUGACGUCGUUCGAUUUUGACCUUUCAUUUUAUGCUCGCUUGAUGGACAUUAUUAUGAUUUCGAAAAAUUACGAAAUUUAUUUUCUAGAAGUUUCGAAUACUCUAGAUCAUAUUUAACGAAGUGGAUCGUCGAUUCGGAAUCUCCAUCAUCGAAAACAACUUAUGAGUACGAAGUGCCUAAUACCCAUAAGAGUAUAGUAGCCCUACUAAUUGAACAUUAUAUUUAUUCUUGUCAU
RNAcentral lists this long non-coding RNA (540 nucleotides) under Ananas comosus (pineapple). Its description in RNAcentral is "long non-coding RNA (ACOM_LNC039749)". The record is from RNAcentral. Lineage: Eukaryota; Viridiplantae; Streptophyta; Magnoliopsida; Poales; Bromeliaceae.